Podarcis lilfordi (Lilford's wall lizard) is the source of this 154-nucleotide non-coding RNA. NCBI's taxonomy places the organism in Eukaryota, Metazoa, Chordata, Lepidosauria, Squamata, Lacertidae. The record is from the annotation of a GenBank genome assembly.
UCGAAGCUGCCUUCUCAUUCACAGGUCAGGUACAGUGUGGACAGAUGCACUGCCGCCUCCCUUAUGCUGCCCCUCCUGUGCAUCUCAAAGCUGACAUGGAAGGACCCCUGUCGAGUAGGGGGGAGAAGGUAAAGGUGGUCUCACUUCUGCAAUA